AUUGAACGCUGGCGGCAUGCCUUACACAUGCAAGUCGAACGGCAGCAUGAUCUAGCUUGCUAGAUUGAUGGCGAGUGGCGAACGGGUGAGUAAUACAUCGGAACGUGCCCUGUAGUGGGGGAUAACUAGUCGAAAGAUUAGCUAAUACCGCAUACGACCUGAGGGCGAAAGUGGGGGACCGCAAGGCCUCAUGCUAUAGGAGCGGCCGAUGUCUGAUUAGCUAGUUGGUGAGGUAAAGGCUCACCAAGGCGACGAUCAGUAGCUGGUCUGAGAGGACGAUCAGCCACACUGGGACUGAGACACGGCCCAGACUCCUACGGGAGGCAGCAGUGGGGAAUUUUGGACAAUGGGCGAAAGCCUGAUCCAGCAAUGCCGCGUGUGUGAAGAAGGCCUUCGGGUUGUAAAGCACUUUUGUCCGGAAAGAAAUGGCUCUGGUUAAUACCUGGGGUCGAUGACGGUACCGGAAGAAUAAGAACCGGCUAACUACGUG
RNAcentral lists this ribosomal RNA (490 nucleotides) under uncultured bacterium. RNAcentral describes it as "partial 16S ribosomal RNA". It matches the Rfam family "Bacterial small subunit ribosomal RNA", at positions 30 to 507 of the family's 1533-position model. The record is from RNAcentral.